UGGGAGAGUGUCAUGGUUACUUAUU
RNAcentral lists this non-coding RNA (25 nucleotides) under Mus musculus (house mouse). Lineage: Eukaryota; Metazoa; Chordata; Mammalia; Rodentia; Muridae. The record is from RNAcentral.